This 506-nucleotide ribosomal RNA is filed under the name uncultured bacterium. RNAcentral's name for it is "partial 16S ribosomal RNA". It matches the Rfam family "Bacterial small subunit ribosomal RNA", at positions 28 to 506 of the family's 1533-position model. The record is from RNAcentral.
GACGAACGCUGGCGGCGUGCCUAAUACAUGCAAGUCGAACGCAUUUUCUUUCACCGUAGCUUGCUACACCGAAAGAAAAUGAGUGGCGAACGGGUGAGUAACACGUGGGUAACCUGCCCAUCAGCGGGGGAUAACACUUGGAAACAGGUGCUAAUACCGCAUAAUUCCAUUUACUGCAUGGUAGAUGGAUGAAAGGCGCUUUUGCGUCACUGAUGGAUGGACCCGCGGUGCAUUAGCUAGUUGGUGGGGUAACGGCCUACCAAGGCUGCGAUGCAUAGCCGACCUGAGAGGGUGAUCGGCCACACUGGGACUGAGACACGGCCCAGACUCCUACGGGAGGCAGCAGUAGGGAAUCUUCGGCAAUGGACGCAAGUCUGACCGAGCAACGCCGCGUGAGUGAAGAAGGUUUUCGGAUCGUAAAACUCUGUUGUUAGAAAAGAACAAGGAUGAGAGUGGAAAGUUCAUCCCUUGACGGUAUCUAACCAGAAAACCACGGCUAACUACGU